This is a long non-coding RNA of Oxyura jamaicensis (ruddy duck), 384 nucleotides long. RefSeq lists it as uncharacterized. Lineage: Eukaryota; Metazoa; Chordata; Aves; Anseriformes; Anatidae. The transcript is spliced from 2 exons. The record is from RefSeq and is a predicted model, not a curated record.
CAUGGAAGCAAACGCCAGUAAAGGUAGCAGCAGCUAGUUGGUGAUGUUAUCGCCCCUGUUAGAGUCCAUCUGCAGCCAGGACCACGAUUAGGAGAGGGGGAAAUCAUUUUAACUUGGCGCACGCAGCAGCAAAGGGUCCCUAAUGCCUCAUGGCUCUCUGCAAAGACAGCCUGUGAAACCUAUCUGUAAUUGCUGAAGGGAAAAAAUGCGGGGUUAUCCACACCACGCUGCCUUACCUCUGCGCAGUAAACUCCCAAUUACCAAAUCUACGUGGUGGCUGAACUCGGGGGAAUUACACUGUACUUUGAAGCAGCUUUUACGGUACACUUCAUCUACGUUUUAGUUUUCUUUAGUUCUCAUUAAAAGGCCACUUUCUUCUUUUCA